RNAcentral lists this transfer RNA (61 nucleotides) under Lepidocyrtus fimetarius. RNAcentral describes it as "tRNA-Ala". Lineage: Eukaryota; Metazoa; Arthropoda; Collembola; Entomobryomorpha; Entomobryidae. The record is from RNAcentral.
AGGAUUAUAGUUAAUUAUAACACCUGGGUUGCAUUCAGGAGGUACUUCAGAGUUUAUCUUU